CUCUGUUUUAUUCGCAGUAUAUGUCCAAAGCGAAAGAUGGAGGGAAACAGGGGAAAGGAUCCUACUGCUUUCCUCCAUUCAGUUCCACUCACCUUCUCAUUGGAAUUCCUUCCAGAUGCGAAGAAAAGCUUGCCAGUGUCAGCUUUUGGUAAGGGCCACUUUGCCCAACCUCAGGUAACGGAUGGCUUUGUAGAGGAAGUGACGUCUGGUUUGAGUCGAGUCCUACAUGAAGAGGCGGAGAUUGGAAAGGGCAUUCUUGACAAAGCACGUAUGCUGUGAGAACAUGGUGAGAACACGGCACAUUUGAGGAAACCUUAAGACAAAAGCCUUUACCUUUCCAAAGGAAUUAUCUCCAGUUCUUUACUCUGCAAAAGCCUGUCUCUUUGCCUUAUGCCAAAAAUCAUAUACAUAAGUGCUCAGUAAAUAUUAGAUGACCAGAUGAAUGAAUGAUAUGAGUUGUCUUGAUUAGGGAAAUUCCCUUCUCAUAGAAUGCUCUUUUUCUCUCUACCAGUCUGAAUUCCAUCAAGAUCUGGCUAGAGACAUACCUCCCUGAAGCUUUUCUUAUCCACAGUGACCUUUACUUGCUCUGAAUUUUGUCUUUUACCAUUCUCACAUUGUUUAAUGUUUCCUGCUAAUCUCAUCUUCCCAAUGAAACAUAAAGUCCUCAAAGUAGAGACUCAUCUCCUUCUCCUUCUCCCUCUUUUUUUGAAAAAAAAAAAAAAAAAAAGUCAUUUUGUUUUGGUUUUUGCUUUGGCAUACCCAAAUGCCCUACAGAGCACAUGUUUGCUUUCUAUGGAAGGAAAGAGGGAGCAGAGCCCAAGAGAGUAGCUGUCCUCAUGGAGUAUUUGGCUUAGUCAUGACCUCUACAGUCCCCCUUCUCCCUCAUUACUUAUUUAUUUUAUAAUCUCUUUUAAAUCUAAAUAAUUUCCUGACUUCACAAAUGAGAUUUUACUCCAAGGCUUCAAAUUUCAGCAAAAGAUAAAUAGCUUACUAAGAUGUCACAUUCUGUAACCAAAGGCAUUAAUUUUCACCUUCUCUUUUCUAGAACAAAUGAGAUACUAUAAUUCCCUUUGAUGCAGUGUAGCAAAUCAGACACUAAAAUAGCACUAGCUACUUUUCAUAUACAAAGAAACACCACUGUUGUUUCUACCUUAAUAUUUCUGCAUCUUAAAGAGCCUUUCAACCCAUCUUGUGUAAAUCUCCAUCCCUGUUCUCUGGUCUGCUGUAUUCUGCCAUCUUUUGCAAACACUUCGAAUUUGUCUUCCUUCGUCUAUUCUUGCCCUUCUAAAUACAUUCUACUGAAGACAUUCAGGGAGAGCCAGGCUGUUCACAGCAUUUCCCUAAAACCCCUUGGUUGCUGCCCUUGCAAACAGGAUAAAGACCAGAAUCUUUAACAGCAUCUACAAGACUUGGCACAGUCUGGGGCCAAACCACGUUGCCAGCUUCAUUUCUCACCAAGUUCUCUCAUUCUUGUGGUUCUAGUGGGCUCCAGCCACAAGGACCUUCCUUUAAUUGCUCGUGGACACCUUGCUUCUUCCAGCUCCAGGAUUUCAGUCCAUACUCUCCUUCCUCAGCUCAAGCUAUUUCUUUCCUAAGGAAGCCAUUCUUAAUUCAUACAAGACAACACAACCUGUACUCUUCCAUUAUAUACACACACACUCAGCACCACAUGCUUUUUUUUUUUACUUCAUAGAACUUAUCACAUUUCCAAUUAUGAUUUGUUCAUACAAUGACUUAUAUAACACCUUGUGUUCCCAGCUAGUCUAAAAACUCGGUAAGGAUAGGAACUACAUCUGUUUUGUUCACUAUUCUAUAUCUGUAGUACAUAAAUGGUACCUGGCAGAUAGUAGGCAUUUAAUAAAUAUUUGACAAAUGAAUGCCAUCUGCAAUAGAUGUUAUUAAGAUGGAGUCUGUCUCUUUUUGUCUUUUUCUUUUUCCUUUUUCCUUCUUUUCCUUCCUUCUUUCUCUUCCUCUCUUUUCCCUUCCUUUCCCUCCCUCCUUCCCUUCCUUCUUUCCUUCCUUCCUUCCUUUCUUUUCUAAUUUAAACCUAUCUAAGCCACAAUUCCAGUGACUUGAAUUCUAGGGAAAGGUAAAAUAGGUUGGGUAUUCCUGUUAGGACAAAAGGUUGACAAAUUAACUCAAACUUACCCAUACCCUUAUUUCCUAUGUAUACACAAAUUACUGGUACACUAAUCACAUUUUCCCACAAACAGCUUAAAGCAACUCCAUAAGCUCUUAUUUAAAUGAUCUGGGCCUGUUCAUGGGUUUUUGUUUUGUAAAUAAACACUAUUUUUACCACUUAAGAAAUAGUCUGGAUAUUUAAAACUCCUCAAACUUAGGAGGGGAAAUAAUUUGGGAUAAAAAGCAAGGAAAGACACAAUAUUUUAGUUUGUAAAAUUGGUUUAUUUACAAUUUGGUAUUUUUAAAUUGUAUUUGGAAUUUUAAUUUUUAUAUAUUUGCCUGGUAGGCAUCCUAUGUUUUCUUAAAUAUGGAGGCAAAGAAAUAGGAAACCUGAGUAAGUUUGAAUUUAAGAGGUUUACCUGUUGCUUCAGUCAGUAAAUUUUAACUUUUAAUCCCUGAGAAUUAGUAGAGUCAAAAAUAUUUUCAUACAUUCAAAUGUAAAAAGCGUAUUUUAAGAACAGAAAAUAAUAAAGCUACUAUAAUUAAUCAUACUCCCCGAAUAUGGCGAUAUAAGGAGUCCCUCUUUCACCAAUUAACUGAGAGGUGUGUGCACAGUGCCUUUUAGUUAUCAGGUGCACCAAUGAGACAAAGAUGCUCUAGUCCUCAGUUUUUUGCAGUUUCUCCUUUUAAAAAAUAUUCCUGGGAACUGAUACACAAUUUAUUCAAGUAUUAGACAUGCUCACUGCUCAGAGCCCUCCCCUCACCCCCGCUUCUCAAUUUUUCUGUGUGGUGUAUAGUUAGGGAUUUUCCUUUACUGUCCGAGACCAAAAUUCCUUAUUGGAUUGCAACCUGAGGCCCAAACUGUUUUUGCAAAGUCACUUUGGAACAAGUCACUUCAGUUUCCUCAAAUAUCAGGUGAGGGAUAAUUAUAGCUUACAGGAACGUAUAAGGCUGCACUGAUGUUCCUACAAUGCCACGAGACCUGCUAAGUCUUUGUAGGGAACAAUGCUCUAUAACAUUAUCAUAGUUAUACCCUGCUGCUCCUUAUUAUAGAUGACUAGUUAAUGCUCCUAAAAUGUCAGCUUUCUUUGGAGGAGUAAAUAUUAAUUCAUUAGUUUGCUCAUUAAACUUCCUUGAGAAGCAAAGAAAUGGCAGUUUAUGCCCUCCCCAAUACAUACGAACUGUAGCACAGAUAUUAAGGAUGUGACCACAGCACAACAGUAAGUCAAAGUCAAACCAAAUAAACCAAAAGUUUUGCAGUAAGAUGCAAUCUUCUUCUGUAUGUGUAUCACACUGGCAGUCGCUUUCCAUUUUGGACAGUGUUAAGCAUCACUAAUGACAAGUGUUUAUUUGCCUAAUGACUAAAAAAGAAGCAAUGUAAUUCAAACUUUUAAAAAACAAAACAAAGUCACAAAUACCCUUUCUUCAAAUCUCCUAAUGCUCUCUUUCCAAAAGAAAAUAAACGAAUUUCCCUUUCUUUAAAAGGCCAAUACCAAUGCCAGCUAAGAACAUUCUCUAGUGCUAGUUUAAAGGCAACUUUGAAGUUCCCAAAAUAGUUACUUGUAUAGGUGUUGAUUCCCAAAGCAAAAAGAUUACAGAAAUUCAAACAGAAUAUAGUAUUACUCAGUUUAAGAAAGAGCUUUAAAAAGACCUGAUAAAAGAGAAUGAGUGGGAAUUAUAAUCUGCUCUGAGUAAGUCAGAUCUGGACAAUUUUAAAUUUAAAUUGCUGCUUUAGCAUCAACCUUCAAUUUUAUACGUAAUGCACGUGUCUUAAAUUUUUUUUUUCCAUAGAUAUUGAGUUUCUUGGUCAGUUGGUAUUUUUUUCAAUUGGUAAGAACUCUGAUUAGCAAGAGAAGCAGUAAUGGGCAAUUAUGGCAUAGGAUAUGGCAAGCCUGAGUCUGGAUUUGGGAAUAGUGUCCCCUUGUUUUAGCAAAUCCCACUUUUGUUGAAGGAAGCCACACUAAGUAAUUUUUUGGCUGCUGGUGGCAAGAGGGGUGUAAAUAAAAAUGUGUGGUAGUUCUUUCCACAAGAGGGAAAUCUUUGUCUACAUAAUAUCCCUACGUCUGACAAAUUACUAGGGCAUCUGCUCGCUGUCUUCUGUAAGCAAACUCUUGGCUUGGUAUUAACCAAACCUGACAAAUCAUGAGCUAGGUGCUGUUUCCGAUCAAGCCAUGGAAGAACGAAGACACUAACACCCAAAAGACAUGAACCAUAGAGACCACCAAGUAAAAUAACUACAAAAGCAUAAGCAUUAAGAAGCACGUGGGGGAGCUGGUGAGAGCACAUAUGAAGAAUUUGCCAGAACUUGCGCACAGAAAACAAUAAAGACCGGUGGGGAAUAAUUUACAGACUCUGCUCCCACAACUUGUUACCUUGAAGAUUUAAAAAAAAAAAAAAAAAAGAUUUGAAAUUCUAGCAGGAUACAGAACCUGGCCGCAGAGGCCAUAUAAAGGAAAAGUAACAUAGAAACAUUACAGGUGAAGGAAUAGGGUAUCCUGAGAAAAGCAAGAGUUGCCUGCUAAAACUUUAUUCUUAAGAUUUGCAAAUUUAUAUUGAACUAACAAAAAAAGCCAACUGUAGCUGACAAUGUUUGCCUUCUAAACUCUCUCCAGGCCACCAGACCAAGAAUAUCACCAGAAAAAAUCAGGAGUUAAAUUAUAGUUAGAAAAGGGGAGAAAAGUAAGGUAGGACAUUAAAUUUUUAUUCUGAAAUUAUCUCUGGCCACGACAAUAAAAUGUAACAAAUAUUCACUGAACAGUCUUACUCCUGUCUUCAGCUGUACAAUACAUACAGUAUCAUAGAACUGGCCACUAGGAUUAAAAUCCACCAGAACAUAUUUCAUGUUAAGUGGCGACAGCAGCAUCUCACAGAAAUGUUUACAUACAUAUGUACACAGUCCACAUUCAACCAUUUUCACAUAUUUUCAGUACACACAGUUGCAGCAUAUUUCAGUCACGUGUCUAAGAUGUUGCUCGAUGAAAACCCAAGCCACUGCCUAGACAGAACUGUAGCAGUUGAGCUGAGUAUAAUUACAAUUAAUUUUAUAUAUGUCCAUAGCAGAGAGAUGUACAAGCCCCUAAGAAACAGAGUUGACAAAUACUUUUUUUUUAAAUGCUACCACAGCAUUAUGUUGGGCGAUAUUAAAACCUUUACCAACCAAAUCAGUUUUUUUUUUAAGUCUUCUGCUUACCAGAAAUAUUCUUGAUGAGAAAAAUUACAAAAAUGAAUGCUCUCUUUAAAAUAAUUCACACUUUGAAGAUUCCAAUAUGGCCCAAUGCUACUGAUGCCUAAAGUGUUGCCUAACCUCCUGAUGGAGUCCUUUAACACGACUCCAAACCACCCAUUAAGUUUAAAAGUGGCUUAAGUGCCUUGCACCCAAAUUGUAAAAAUCCCUGGCCAUCCGUACUAGAGCCAGGCACAUAUAAAAGGAAUGCACUUUGGUUCAUACCAAAUGCCCUGGGAUUAAUCACACUAUAAAAUUAAAUGGUUUGAGGUAAAUUUUUACAAAUACAGUUGAUUUUUGUCUAGUGUUACCAUAACAAAAAAAUAUCAUUUAAAAAAUCAGUCUGAUGUUAAGAUACAACAAAGACCAUCUUUAACCCCUUAAACAUAGGAAUUUCCUGUGUAACUAACCAAAUGGUUACCUUUUUCAAUGCCUGAUGAUGAUUCACGCCUUAUGGUUUCUAUUAAGGCCUGUAAGUAACUGGAUAUUUAAGACAGAUGUAUCUUUGCAGAGCUGGGUUCCAUCCUUACUGCCGGGUAUUCAAAGAGUUAAAGAGGCCAAAAAAUGCAUGCCCUACAACAUGGCAUUCAGAACAAAAGGCACAUUGUUAACACUAAGGGCACAACUUCUCCUCUACUGUUGAUCUGCACUGUCCUGCAUCACGGUGCUGUUCCCCUGUCGUAGCAACGCACUUAAGAGGUGAUGCGCACUGUGGAGGUGCCAGAAACGGAGCCAGAUGAGACUGCAACCGAAGACAAGACACUGUGCUAGUCUGAAGUCUGAAAACAGCUCAGACAUCCCUAGACACUGGUAACCUGUGAGACCGAGGACUGUUUCCAAGCCAACUCCUAGUAGCCUAUUAGAGCCCUUCAUUUGUUUUAAAAUCACAGAGAUGCAACGUUUUUCUUUUUUUGAUAUAAAUAAGCCAGAAUUUUUUAAAAGCAGCCCUACCACUGAACACUGAACCUAGUGGCUCUUAUGAAUGAAGUAGAUCUCACCGUAUUUGGAGGGCGGGGCAUAGCGCUGCCCAUUAUAGUUUGGCUUCAAAGUUUCCGGUUGCAUUUGUGAAUAUCAUCACAAAUGCACUGUUGGCAUCUUAAGUACCAGUUUUAUGUGGCGGGGAAAAGACAAGCAGUACUAGUCCAUUUAUAAAUUUUCACAUGUAUUUUAUAGGGAAAUUCCUAUUAAUGGCAGGCUCAGGUUCACGUAAACCUAAAUGUGAAAAUGAGGGUGGAUAUGGAAGAGGAGAACUGCAAGGGAAAAACAGCUUUUAUGUUUUUGUUUUAAAGAAGCUAACCAUCAUUCAGAGGCUUAUGGUUUUACAAAGCCACCAUACCAAGUCUUACACUUCUUAUGCCUUUUAAGUCAAAAUUUUAAUAAUAAAUACACAAUCUUUAAAUUCUAUAAGCCACUGAUUGGGGGUAUCGUCACAUGAGCAUCAUUUAAAAAGCAACUUACUAACAUAUUAUUGCACUUCCACAGAUUACACAGAAAUGUGUACAACAGGCUAAAGAAUCUGACUAGGGGAAAGAAGCUAUAAUUUCUAAGUACAGAAGUACAAAUUAAUUUAUCAGUGACACCCUUAAAUAGUAAAGCAAAUAUCAACAUCACUAUCUUAUUAAUAAGCUAAUCUUAUUACUGUUUUUUGGCAAAUAUCUGUAAUAUUUCCUGAGCGUUUUCUCCAUCAAACGACAAAGCCUCAAGAUAAGAGUUUUGUUCAAAACUUUCUUUUUUCUUUUUUCCUAAGUAAGAGAAACUGUAGGACUAAUAUUAAAAGAACUUAACCGGAAACUUUCCUGGCCUCGCUGGGGACCAUGCUUUAAGUACUUGUAAAUCAAUUUACAGGCAAUACAAUAAUAUCUGUGCAUAUAAAAGAGUAUUUAUCCUAAUUUAUACUACCCAAAACCUAUUGUCCAAACAGGCAAAAAAAUCUUUCUAUAUUAAAUUGCACAUACUAAAAAAUUUCUUCCACGUGCCUUGAAAUUGAUAAAUAUCACUGCUCAUACAUUAGUGAUAAAAUACUUAAUUUUUCACUUUGAAAAUAAUUAUUAUUCAGAGACGAAAAUAUUCUUUUACCUCUCAGUUAACUUUUCCAGGUAAAGUGUCAUUCCCACAAAUACAGUCAGUGCAAUCCAAAAGAAAGUAAAAUAGAGGAAUGCGAUCCGUGAUUUUCCUAAUGAUGCAAGUAAGUCAAACCAUUUAACUUGAGAUUGAACUUUUCCUCCUUUAACUACGUUGUUUAAAUUGACCUCACUGAAAAGUCACAAUGACUUCUGUUCAGCAAGAGGAUUUUCAAGCAUCUUUCUUUUUAAAGAAAGAGUUGAUGCUUUCCCAGGCGAAGAGAACCUUACAGUGGCACCUGAAAAGUGUGAACUCACUCUAACUUGCUAAACCUUCUUUGGAACUAUGGAAAUCCCCACCUUAAGUAGCUAGGCUGCUGUUCUUUUUUAAACUGGGAUAUGAAAACAAUGGUCAUAAUCACAGCUGAAAUGUCUCUCUUCUGUAUUAACAGUCUGGGAUAUAUAUGUGAAGGAAGGAAAAAAAAAAAACUAAAUGCAAGCAACAGAUGUGUAGUGAAAGAGGAACAGAGAGGAGAAAAGCAAAGAGGAGGAACAGUUUAUGGAAUACAUUUUUGUAUUUAGGUGCAAAACCAAUUCCGUACUAUGAGGCUUCUUUACAAACAGGUCGCUGAUCAUAUUAGAAAAUUUGGAGGAACGCACAUGUUUCCAUUUAUCCACCCAGGUCUGCUUGGCCAGCUUUUAGAAAGUCAGAAUGCUAAGUGGGCAUGUCAACUUGGGGACUUUGUGUUUGUCUGACCACUAGUUUAGGAAAAAAUUCUCUGAGGUCAGUUCUGCUCAUUAAUCAUUUUUGUCCUGGCCAUUCUUCUCCCACCCUCACUACCACCCACGUCACUUAUGGGAAACGGAAGCAGGACGUGCUACACCUGUGCGUGAACCAGGAGCAUGGCGAGGGAAGGGGGACCUUCCGGGGGGCAACUGCCUGGGGGAGAAUAUACUAUGAACCAUAGAAACAGUGAAUGUCUUUGACACCAAUCUGUAAAUGCGCAGCAGUCACGAAGUAAUCAAUGGCCUG
RNAcentral lists this long non-coding RNA (8437 nucleotides) under Lynx pardinus (Iberian lynx). Lineage: Eukaryota; Metazoa; Chordata; Mammalia; Carnivora; Felidae. The record is from RNAcentral.